UCUGGCUCUUACUUUUUUGGGGGGGUCAAACGGAGUUAAACAGCUGCGGCCGCUGUCGCCAUAGUGCUGCUACUGUAGAGGGCAGCGGAGAGCCGUGGGCUGUCACGCCGGGGAGCGGAGGAGUGCGGCGGCAGUGAGCUGCGCAGAGGCCCCUUUUAUAUGUGACUGCAUCACACUGACUCAUAUGCCGCCGCCCAGCCGCCAAUCCCAGGUCCGCGCUGCCAGUUCUCUAGAUUAGAUUCAGCAGCUGAGACUGAGCUGCUGUCAGUCAGUGUGCGGAGACAGUCCGGGCGGAGGGAGAGCUGGGGCCACAGUGCCCUCUCCUCCCAGCGCCUCCGCCUGUGUGUCGCUCCGGCCCGGCUUCCCCUCUCUGCUGGUGCUGUCGUUGCUGCCGGGAUCUGAUAUCACGAUCUGGUGCCCGUGCCCCGCGUAAUACCCAAGGACUGGUAGCAGUGCAGCUCUGCGCCAAGUGUAAUAGUACCAGUGCUGGAGGCUGCCAGUCAGGAGCUAUAUGGACAAACAGAAGUGCAGCCUUGUCCACUACCACAUAACUGAACCUAAUAAUACCAGGAAUAAUGUACACUGCAUGGGCGUGAGUUGGCUCUGAGACAUAUAAUGGGGAUUGCGGUACAAAACUGCACCCACUAUCAGGGCCGCAAUCAGAAGGAGACUGCCGGGACUCAAGUACCGGGCCUGGAGAGAGAGGGAGGCCCACCCUUGGUUCCUACCCAGGGAAAGAAUAUUAAUCCUUCUACAAGUCCGCCUCCCGGCUUCUGUGCUUCACUUAUGGCCUUUCGCAAGGUCUCAUCAGCCACCUGACAGGCUCCUUCAGAUUGGAUGUCAUAGCUGCAGCUCUAAUUAUCUGUGUGGGCCAGGCAGAGCACAGCUCCAAACAGCUGCAGGCAGCUAUAUGGAGCGGGACCCAGCAGUCAGCAUGUGUCGGCACCCGGCAUCAGCCUACACAUCACCCACAGCAUCAGUGGUGCUCCGACCUCAGAGUUUCCUGGUCCUGCAUCUCAAGGAUCCCCAAGGUAAAGAUAUGAAGAUUCCAAAAGCAGAUAAGGGCGUCAGCUGAUGGUGAUAGAAGUAGAUAAACAAUGACACAAAGUGUUUGUAUUCUUUUACAUGUAUCCAUGUCCAUGAAGGUGGCUCAUUUCUAGGUUGUCACCAGUCCUGGCUUGAUUUUUGCUUGAUGAACUUAAGACUUAGGAAAUACAGCAGAAGAAAUCCAGCACUUAUCCCAAUGAGUACAAGAUAAGAUGCAUAGAGAGGGUAUGUGUCCGCAUCCAUACUUUGGAUAAUCUGUAUGGAAGAUAAAAUAAAAAUGGUGAUUGAACAUCA
Molecule: long non-coding RNA, 1341 nt
Organism: Pseudophryne corroboree (corroboree frog)
Lineage: Eukaryota; Metazoa; Chordata; Amphibia; Anura; Myobatrachidae
Exons: 5
Source: RefSeq, a predicted model, not a curated record